This 1915-nucleotide long non-coding RNA is filed under the name Equus caballus (horse). RNAcentral describes it as "lncRNA (ENSECAG00000053467.1)". The record is from RNAcentral. Lineage: Eukaryota; Metazoa; Chordata; Mammalia; Perissodactyla; Equidae.
CCUCCUGCAGCUCCCGCCCGGUGGAGGCAGACGCAUCAACAGGCAAUUUCAGUGCAGCGUGACCAGGGCCACUCUCUAGGGAAGCCUGGGGACCGUGUGGCCACAGGAGGGGCCCGACCCCACAGAGGGAGGCCGGGGCAGGCUGCAGGGCAGCUCCCUUGCCCUGUAGGUCCCUUGGCACCUGCCCCCGCCCCAUCCCCGCUGCGGCCAGGCCUCGGCCCCAGAUGUGCUCUGGCCAAAGCCGGGAGGCAGAGAGGUGAGGGCACCUCAGCCCUGGGUCUCGCCUCAGCAGGUGAGAGGAGAGCCAGGCAGUUGCUAGUGUUAAUUGCAGGGAGGAUGUCUGGCAGAAAUAAGGUGGUUUUUCUGCUUCAGUGACGACUGUUACAAUCAAAUUGUCCACAGACAAUUAGCGGAGUGGGAGAAAUAAGAAUUAGAUUUCUAAUUAUUUUCCCAGUAAAAGCCGCCCUGGACCCCGUGGGUGAGGGGGAAGGGCUUUUCAGUGGAGCCAACAGGCGCUCUCGUGGGUCUAGCUCCCCUGGGCGGGGGUGGGGGGGGACCCCAAGCAGGAGUGUCCACGGGGGAAGGAAGGUGCAAACCUCGCUGAAUCUCGGGUGCUGGAAAGAGCUGGGGAUCUGGACACUUGGACCCCACAACUAGCCUUGAGGCUAACUUGCCGUCACUUCCCAUUUUUGAGUCUGGGAGGCUCAUUCCAACUCCCGGGUCAUAGAGCUGCUGUGAGGAGUGAAGGAGAGGAGGCGGCAAGAGCACCGACAGACCCCGGCACAGGGCAGGGCGUCCCGCGGGCCCUGGCCCCAAGCCCACACGCCUGUGGGCAUGUGCAAGCUCACACACACUCAAGCACAGGAAGCCUCUCCUUCCACACCCCCCUGCCUCCCUGGUUGGCCAGGUCUGUGUCAGUGACAGAGGGAGGGGACUCAGCGAAAGGAGGGAGACGGAACCCAGUGAAGCCCCACUCUGAAGAGGACGCCUCUCCCUGAUCUGUGUGAGCCUCAGCCUCCACGUCUUGCAAAUGAGGCUGAGGGUGCCACCUGCCUGGGGUCGAAGCAAGGGUUCAGUGACACACAUGUCCAGGGCGUGCCUCAGGCCCGGCACACAGCGUUUGUGCUCAGUAAAUACCAUUCACAGCCCAAGUGCCAUCCCAGGCAUCCAGCCCAGGCCUGUGAGGCUGCAGAGGGAGGGGAGGGGGCGUUUCUGGAGGGAACCCAGUUAGGCAGCUGAAGGAAGGGAUGAAUAAGGACUUCUCAACCCCUACCAAGCACAAGGGCUCUGGUCUGAGUAUCGUGAGCCCACCAGACCCAGCCUUCGUCGGGGGCCCCAGACACUCAGAAGGACAGAGGACGGAGCAGAGAAGGACCCACUGAGCUGCUGCAGCAACCAAGAAAGCGGCUUUUGAGAUGAUGGAUCCUCAAGAUCAAAGCAGCAUGGAGAGCUGAGUCACCCCAUGAAGGACAGCAGCCCAGAGAGAUGCCUGGACCUGCGGGAGAUUUUGCAUAAGCCAACAAUAAGCUUUUGUUAUGUUUCUCCACUGAGAUUUAGGGGCUGUUUGUUACCGCAGCAUAGCCUGUCCUGUCCUGACUAAUACAGCCCUCUCUGAGUGUAAUUGCCCUGUCUUUAAUCUGAGGACAACCAUCUGGGUGGCGGUGAGGAUGAACUGUUAAAAGGUCUGCACCCGGCUCCUGAGUGCCUACUGCAUGCCAGGCUCACUGUAAGUCCCUGACCACGAGAUGCCCUGGCUGGGCAGAUGCUAUGACUGAGUGUCUGUGUGCCCCAAAUGCAUAUGUUGAAGCCCCAACCCCCCAUGUGAUGGUGUUUGGAGGUGGAGUCCUUUGGGGGCCUAGGUUUAGAUGAGGUCAUAAGGGUGGAGCUCCCACAGCAGUAAUAGUGCCCUUAUGAG